GAUGAACGCUGGCGGCGUGCCUAAUACAUGCAAGUCGAGCGAACAGACGAGGAGCUUUCUUCUCUGACGUUAGCGGCGGACGGGUGAGUAACACGUGGAUAACCUACCUAUAAGACUGGGAUAACUUCGGGAAACCGGAGCUAAUACCGGAUAAUAUAUUGAACCGCAUGGUUCAAUAGUGAAAGACGGUUUUGCUGUCACUUAUAGAUGGAUCCGCGCCGCAUUAGCUAGUUGGUAAGGUAACGGCUUACCAAGGCAACGAUGCGUAGCCGACCUGAGAGGGUAAUCGGCCACACUGGAACUGAGAAACGGUCCAGACUCCUACGGGAGGCAGCAGUAGGAAAUCUGCCGCAAUGGGCGAAAGCCUGACGGAGCAACGCCGCGUGAGUGAUGAAGGUCUUCGGAUCGUAAAACUCUGUUAUUAGGGAAGAACAAUGUGUAAGUAACUAUGCACGUCUUGACGGUACCUAAUCAGAAAGCCACGGCUAACUACGUG
This 496-nucleotide ribosomal RNA is filed under the name uncultured bacterium. RNAcentral describes it as "partial 16S ribosomal RNA". It matches the Rfam family "Bacterial small subunit ribosomal RNA", at positions 28 to 507 of the family's 1533-position model. The record is from RNAcentral.